Molecule: long non-coding RNA, 1229 nt
Filed under: Salvator merianae (Argentine black and white tegu)
Lineage: Eukaryota; Metazoa; Chordata; Lepidosauria; Squamata; Teiidae
Description: lncRNA (ENSSMRG00000022617.1)
Source: RNAcentral
UGGGGGUGGCCCGGCGCCAAGCAAGACUGAAGGGAAGACACAGGCAGAAAAACGCCCGCUUCAGCAAACGCCCCUUUGGCCGCCAACAACAGCAGCGACAGUCUGUCGGGAGAAGAGAGAGAGCCGACAGCCUCUUGGACUUCGUGGACUCAUUCAGGAUGAUUCUCUGUGGAAUACACUAUAGCCGUGCUGAUAGAGUGCAUGAAAUUUUACUGAAAUGUAAGGUUUCCCUGACUCUCCUUUUGCUUCAUCUCUUUCUAGCUACUUAUGGAAGAGCACAGGAUGGUUUCUUAGGUCAAUACCGAGCUGUGUUCAAUACCUCAUGUAGUGAAGUGUGGACCUUGUCAUCUAAAAUUUCUGUACCUGCCUUGACAAAUUUCACAGUCUGCAUUUAUUUUAAACUGUACGAUCAAAAUGAUUCUUGGACAGCAUUUGUUUACAAAAAGGAAUCUGAUGGCAAACUGNCAGCAGUGGACCGCUAUGAACUUGGACUUUCAGGAGGACCUGAUGAAUUGACAGCUUGGAUAUUUGGCAACAAUAUAACCUGGGCAGAAAAACUGGAUGAUAACAGCUGGUAUCAGGUCUGCACAGGAUGGAGAAGNGAGCAACAGGAAGUAAGUGUAUAUGUAAAUGGCAAAGAAAAGAAAAAAUUAAAAAUAUCUAAAGAUGGAUCACUUGCUCCAGACGGGGAACUUCUACUUGGCUGCUCACAGAANCCUGGUGCACCCUCAUCUUCUGCAGAAGGGGUAACUGGUGAACUGUACAUGUUUAGAAUGUGGGCUAAAGGUGACAUCUCUCAUACUCAAGAUUGCCAGGAUGGAACCAUCAUACGCUGGAGAAAGGAUAAUUGGGAAUAUAAUAAUUCAGCGCAGUUCAGCGAUUCUUUGCCUUGUGCCAAUGCAUUUAACUUCUCAUCAGAAUUUGGAAGAGCUCCAGUAAGUACACUAGCAGACUCAUCCAUUGUCACUUUUGUCACCUACCCUAACAAUGCUUCAGAUAUAUCUUCUCCUGAAACACUGACUAGUGCAGGAUCAAUUUCAGUGACAGAAUCUGAUUUCACAUUGGCACCUGCAGACAGAAUAAUGACUACAGAAGACAGUUCAUUUUCUACUGGUGGGCCUGGUAAGAUCCAGUACUUAAAAAUAAGAUUGACUUAUAUCUCAUAGUUUAUGCUGCUUAUAAAAUAUAUGAUGGGAACUGGACACAUAGUUAAUAUGAAUGAAGCUUCA